RNAcentral lists this ribosomal RNA (495 nucleotides) under uncultured bacterium. RNAcentral describes it as "partial 16S ribosomal RNA". It matches the Rfam family "Bacterial small subunit ribosomal RNA", at positions 28 to 507 of the family's 1533-position model. The record is from RNAcentral.
GACGAACGCUGGCGGCGUGCCUAAUACAUGCAAGUAGAACGCUGAAGGAGGAGCUUGCUUCUCUGGAUGAGUUGCGAACGGGUGAGUAACGCGUAGGUAACCUGCCUGGUAGCGGGGGAUAACUAUUGGAAACGAUAGCUAAUACCGCAUAAUAGCAGUUGUUGCAUGACAACUGUUUGAAAGGUGCAAUUGCACCACUACCAGAUGGACCUGCGUUGUAUUAGCUAGUUGGUGGGGUAACGGCUCACCAAGGCGACGAUACAUAGCCGACCUGAGAGGGUGAUCGGCCACACUGGGACUGAGACACGGCCCAGACUCCUACGGGAGGCAGCAGUAGGGAAGCUUCGGCAAUGGACGGAAGUCUGACCGAGCAACGCCGCGUGAGUGAAGAAGGUUCUCGGAUCGUAAAGCUCUGUUGUAAGAGAAGAACGAGUGUGAGAGUGGAAAGUUCACACUGUGACGGUAUCUGACCAGAAAGGGACGGCUAACUACGUG